RNAcentral lists this ribosomal RNA (460 nucleotides) under uncultured bacterium. RNAcentral describes it as "partial 16S ribosomal RNA". It matches the Rfam family "Bacterial small subunit ribosomal RNA", at positions 338 to 795 of the family's 1533-position model. The record is from RNAcentral.
CCUACGGGAGGCAGCAGUGAGGAAUAUUGGUCAAUGGCCGGAAGGCUGAACCAGCCAAGUCGCGUGAAGGAAGAAGGAUCUAUGGUUUGUAAACUUCUUUUAUAGGGGAAUAAAGGUAUCCACGUGUGGAGAUUUGCAUGUACCCUAUGAAUAAGCAUCGGCUAACUCCGUGCCAGCAGCCGCGGUAAUACGGAGGAUGCGAGCGUUAUCCGGAUUUAUUGGGUUUAAAGGGUGCGUAGGUGGGUUUUUAAGUCAGCGGUUAAAGGUUGUGGCUCAACCCUAAGAUUGCCGUUGAAACUGGAAGACUUGAGUGUGUUUGAGGUAGGCGGAAUUCGUGGUGUAGCGGUGAAAUGCAUAGAUAUCACGCAGAACUCCGAUUGCGAAGGCAGCUUACUAGGCCAUAACUGACGCUGAAGCACGAAAGCGUGGGGAGCAAACAGGAUUAGAUACCCUGGUAGUC